RNAcentral lists this ribosomal RNA (646 nucleotides) under bacterium SC6-17. Its description in RNAcentral is "bacterial SSU rRNA". It matches the Rfam family "Bacterial small subunit ribosomal RNA", at positions 338 to 974 of the family's 1533-position model. The record is from RNAcentral.
CCUACGGGAGGCAGCAGUAGGGAAUCUUCCGCAAUGGACGAAAGUCUGACGGAGCAACGCCGCGUGAGUGAUGAAGGUUUUCGGAUCGUAAAACUCUGUUGUUAGGGAAGAACAAGUGCGAGAGUAACUGCUCGCACCUUGACGGUACCUAACCAGAAAGCCACGGCUAACUACGUGCCAGCAGCCGCGGUAAUACGUAGGUGGCAAGCGUUGUCCGGAAUUAUUGGGCGUAAAGCGCGCGCAGGCGGUUUCUUAAGUCUGAUGUGAAAGCCCCCGGCUCAACCGGGGAGGGUCAUUGGAAACUGGGAAACUUGAGUGCAGAAGAGGAGAGUGGAAUUCCACGUGUAGCGGUGAAAUGCGUAGAGAUGUGGAGGAACACCAGUGGCGAAGGCGACUCUCUGGUCUGUAACUGACGCUGAGGCGCGAAAGCGUGGGGAGCGAACAGGAUUAGAUACCCUGGUAGUCCACGCCGUAAACGAUGAGUGCUAAGUGUUAGAGGGUUUCCGCCCUUUUAGUGCUGCAGCUAACGCAUUAAGCACUCCGCCUGGGGAGUACGGUCGCAAGACUGAAACUCAAAGGAAUUGACGGGGGCCCGCACAAGCGGUGGAGCAUGUGGUUUAAUUCGAAGCAACGCGAAGAACCUUAC